RNAcentral lists this ribosomal RNA (253 nucleotides) under uncultured bacterium. RNAcentral describes it as "partial 16S ribosomal RNA". It matches the Rfam family "Bacterial small subunit ribosomal RNA", at positions 524 to 776 of the family's 1533-position model. The record is from RNAcentral.
UACGUAGGGUGCAAGCGUUGUCCGGAAUUAUUGGGCGUAAAGAGCUCGUAGGCGGUCUGUCGCGUCGGAUGUGAAAAUCCAGGGCUCAACCCUGGACCUGCAUUCGAUACGGGCAGACUAGAGUUCGGCAGGGGAGACUGGAAUUCCUGGUGUAGCGGUGAAAUGCGCAGAUAUCAGGAGGAACACCGAUGGCGAAGGCAGGUCUCUGGGCAUUAACUGACGCUGAGGAGCGAAAGCAUGGGGAGCGAACAGG